AUCUUAGUAGCUUAUAAUAUUAGAGCAUAGCACUGAAGAUGCUAAAGAGGCAAAUUUAUGCCCUAAGAUA
Molecule: transfer RNA, 70 nt
Filed under: Euspira gilva
Lineage: Eukaryota; Metazoa; Mollusca; Gastropoda; Littorinimorpha; Naticidae
Description: tRNA-Phe
Source: RNAcentral